AGUGAACGCUGGCGGUAGGCCUAACACAUGCAAGUCGAACGGCAGCACAGUAAGAGCUUGCUCUUACCGGUGGCGAGUCGCGGACGGGUGAGGAAUACAUCGGAAUCUACUUUUUCGUGGGGGAUAACGUAGGGAAACUUACGCUAAUACCGCAUACGACCUACGGGUGAAAGCAUGGGAUCUUCGCACCUUGCGCGAGUGGAUGAGCCGGUGUCGGAUUAGCUAGUUGGCGGGGUAGAGGCCCACCAUGGCGUUGAUGGGGAGCCGGUCUGAGAGGAUGACCGGCCACAUGGGGAAUGAGAUACGGCCAAGACUGCUACGGGAGGCAGAAGGGGGGAAUAUUGCACAAUGGGAGGAAGCCUGAUGCAGCAACGCCGCGUGCGGGAUGACGGCCUUCGGGUGGUAAACCGCUUUCGCCUGUGACGAAGCGUGAGUGACGGUAAUGGGUAAAGAAGCACCGGCUAACUACGUG
RNAcentral lists this ribosomal RNA (472 nucleotides) under uncultured bacterium. Its description in RNAcentral is "partial 16S ribosomal RNA". It matches the Rfam family "Bacterial small subunit ribosomal RNA", at positions 30 to 507 of the family's 1533-position model. The record is from RNAcentral.